This 401-nucleotide ribosomal RNA is filed under the name uncultured bacterium. Its description in RNAcentral is "bacterial SSU rRNA". It matches the Rfam family "Bacterial small subunit ribosomal RNA", at positions 32 to 429 of the family's 1533-position model. The record is from RNAcentral.
AAUCAACGCUGGCGGCGUGCCUCAGACAUGCAAGUCGAACGCGAAAGUCCCCUUCGGGGGGCAAGUAGAGUGGCGCACGGGUGAGUAAUGCUUAGGAAUCUGCCUAGUAGUGGGGGAUAACCCGGGGAAACUCGGGCUAAUACCGCAUACGCCCUACAGGGGAAAGCGGGGGACUUUCGGGCCUCGCGCUAUUAGAUGAGCCUAAGUCCGAUUAGCUAGUUGGUAGGGUAAUGGCCUACCAAGGCGACGAUCGGUAGCUGGUCUGAGAGGACGACCAGCCACACUGGGACUGAGACACGGCCCAGACUCCUACGGGAGGCAGCAGUGGGGAAUAUUGGACAAUGGGCGCAAGGCCUGAUCCAGCGAUGCCGCGUGUGUGAAGAAGGCCUGCGGGUUGUAAA